RNAcentral lists this ribosomal RNA (803 nucleotides) under Staphylococcus sp. B-121-1-3. RNAcentral's name for it is "bacterial SSU rRNA". It matches the Rfam family "Bacterial small subunit ribosomal RNA", at positions 87 to 877 of the family's 1533-position model. Lineage: Bacteria; Bacillati; Bacillota; Bacilli; Caryophanales; Staphylococcaceae. The record is from RNAcentral.
UGACGUUAGCGGCGGACGGGUGAGUAACACGUGGGUAACCUACCUAUAAGACUGGGAUAACUUCGGGAAACCGGAGCUAAUACCGGAUAACAUUUGGAACCGCAUGGUUCUAAAGUGAAAGAUGGUUUUGCUAUCACUUAUAGAUGGACCCGCGCCGUAUUAGCUAGUUGGUAAGGUAACGGCUUACCAAGGCGACGAUACGUAGCCGACCUGAGAGGGUGAUCGGCCACACUGGAACUGAGACACGGUCCAGACUCCUACGGGAGGCAGCAGUAGGGAAUCUUCCGCAAUGGGCGAAAGCCUGACGGAGCAACGCCGCGUGAGUGAUGAAGGGUUUCGGCUCGUAAAACUCUGUUAUUAGGGAAGAACAAACGUGUAAGUAACUGUGCACGUCUUGACGGUACCUAAUCAGAAAGCCACGGCUAACUACGUGCCAGCAGCCGCGGUAAUACGUAGGUGGCAAGCGUUAUCCGGAAUUAUUGGGCGUAAAGCGCGCGUAGGCGGUUUCUUAAGUCUGAUGUGAAAGCCCACGGCUCAACCGUGGAGGGUCAUUGGAAACUGGGAAACUUGAGUGCAGAAGAGGAAAGUGGAAUUCCAUGUGUAGCGGUGAAAUGCGCAGAGAUAUGGAGGAACACCAGUGGCGAAGGCGACUUUCUGGUCUGUAACUGACGCUGAUGUGCGAAAGCGUGGGGAUCAAACAGGAUUAGAUACCCUGGUAGUCCACGCCGUAAACGAUGAGUGCUAAGUGUUAGGGGUUUCCGCCCCUUAGUGCUGCAGCUAACGCAUUAAGCACUCCGCCUGGG